Molecule: ribosomal RNA, 253 nt
Filed under: uncultured bacterium
Lineage: Bacteria
Also listed under: 1 other name
Description: partial 16S ribosomal RNA
Rfam family: Bacterial small subunit ribosomal RNA
Source: RNAcentral
UACGAACUGUGCGAACGUUAUUCGGAAUCACUGGGCUUAAAGGGUGCGUAGGCGGCGGCACAAGUCAGGUGUGAAAUCCCCCGGCUCAACCGGGGAACAGCGCUUGAAACUAGGUCGCUCGAGUGAGGCAGGGGUGUAUGGAACUUCCGGUGGAGCGGUGAAAUGUGUAGAGAUCGGAAGGAACGCCGGCGGCGAAAGCGGUACACUGGGCCUUGUCUGACGCUGAGGCACGAAAGCUAGGGGAGUGAACGGG